RNAcentral lists this small RNA (95 nucleotides) under Klebsiella oxytoca OK-1. RNAcentral describes it as "putative OxyS RNA". Lineage: Bacteria; Pseudomonadati; Pseudomonadota; Gammaproteobacteria; Enterobacterales; Enterobacteriaceae. The record is from RNAcentral. RNAcentral also lists the same sequence under 1 other name.
AUGAGGAAAACUGCAGAAAAUCAUUGAGCUUCCUCAUCAGUUCUCUACCCGGAUAACUAAAGCCAACGUGAACUUUUGCGGACCUUGUGUCCGCU